Long non-coding RNA from Spinacia oleracea (spinach), 263 nucleotides. RefSeq lists it as uncharacterized. Lineage: Eukaryota; Viridiplantae; Streptophyta; Magnoliopsida; Caryophyllales; Amaranthaceae. The record is from RefSeq and is a predicted model, not a curated record. The transcript is spliced from 3 exons.
GUCUGUUCUUCGGUGCUUGCUCGGCCGUCAAUCUAAUCGCCACAACAACUGCCUGCAGGAAUCUAUCAUCGUGCUUGUCUGGAUUUCAACAACUGCAUUAAGGCUUCUAUUUUGUUGUUGACACCAGCAUUUGCAAGGCUUAUUUUGCGACUUAAUCUUCAGCCUCCUGAAUUUGUUACUGGUACUUAUUAUUUUGAGUUGGUCUUAUGAAGUAUUACAUUUACAUUUACUCUCUUUCGCCUAGUUACAAUCAGAUCUGUCUG